This 429-nucleotide ribosomal RNA is filed under the name Actinomycetes bacterium. RNAcentral describes it as "Actinobacteria bacterium partial 16S ribosomal RNA". It matches the Rfam family "Bacterial small subunit ribosomal RNA", at positions 355 to 776 of the family's 1533-position model. Lineage: Bacteria; Bacillati; Actinomycetota; Actinomycetes. The record is from RNAcentral.
UAGGGAAUCUUCCGCAAUGGGCGAAAGCCUGACGGAGCAACGCCGCGUGAGUGAUGAAGGUCUUCGGAUCGUAAAACUCUGUUAUUAGGGAAGAACAAAUGUGUAAGUAACUAUGCACGUCUUGACGGUAUCUAAUCAGAAAGCCACGGCUAACUACGUGCCAGCAGCCGCGGUAAUACGUAGGUGGCAAGCGUUAUCCGGAAUUAUUGGGCGUAAAGCGCGCGUAGGCGGUUUUUUAAGUCUGAUGUGAAAGCCCACGGCUCAACCGUGGAGGGUCAUUGGAAACUGGAAAACUUGAGUGCAGAAGAGGAAAGUGGAAUUCCAUGUGUAGCGGUGAAAUGCGCAGAGAUAUGGAGGAACACCAGUGGCGAAGGCGACUUUCUGGUAUGUAACUGACGCUGAUGUGCGAAAGCGUGGGGAUCAAACAGG